Molecule: transfer RNA, 75 nt
Filed under: Candidatus Zambryskibacteria bacterium RIFCSPHIGHO2_01_FULL_43_27
Lineage: Bacteria; Candidatus Zambryskiibacteriota
Also listed under: 2 other names
Description: tRNA-Arg
Rfam family: tRNA
About the family: Transfer RNA (tRNA) molecules are approximately 80 nucleotides in length. Their secondary structure includes four short double-helical elements and three loops (D, anti-codon, and T loops). Further hydrogen bonds mediate the characteristic L-shaped molecular structure. tRNAs have two regions of fundamental functional importance: the anti-codon, which is responsible for specific mRNA codon recognition, and the 3' end, to which the tRNAs corresponding amino acid is attached (by aminoacyl-tRNA synthetases). tRNAs cope with the degeneracy of the genetic code in two manners: having more than one tRNA (with a specific anti-codon) for a particular amino acid; and 'wobble' base-pairing, i.e. permitting non-standard base-pairing at the 3rd anti-codon position.
Source: RNAcentral
GCCCCCGUAGUUCAAUGGAUAGAACAGAGCUCUUCUAAGGCUUUGAUGUAGGUUCGAUUCCUGCCGGGGGCACAA